UUUCUUUGGAGUAAAGGCAGAGCUACUGAUGAGCUGCUCAGUGUGGAGAUGAAGGUCAUACUGCAGACUGACUGAAGCAGUGUGUGGAGCAGCUGGCCUAUAGGGGGCAGUACACAGCAGGAACCAAGACUGAUGUCAGUGUUGCUUGACUGGUGUGGAGAACUGGAGUCCACCUGCUGGGAUGUGACCAGGCACUUCUGCUCAGCCUGAGUUUGAGGAUGAAAUUUAAACUGUCAAACAUUGAAUGUAAGAUCU
This is a long non-coding RNA of Scomber japonicus (chub mackerel), 255 nucleotides long. RefSeq lists it as uncharacterized. The record is from RefSeq and is a predicted model, not a curated record. Lineage: Eukaryota; Metazoa; Chordata; Actinopteri; Scombriformes; Scombridae. The transcript has 4 exons.